GUUAAAACUCUUUUCUACCAUUUCUCACACUGCUCUGUCAUGACAGAACCAGCAACCCUUCAACUGACAGCCAGCAGCUUUAAUCACUUUUGGACAGCAGAUGGCUUCCCCCUUCACUGAGCUGGAGUACUACGUCAUUCUUUUUUCUCUACUAGUCUUCAGUCUGUUCACUCUGCAUGGCAUGAUACAAGAGAGAUGCUUAUCUACCACAGAACCAGAAGAACCACAAGAGCCACUCAUAGUCUGAACCCUACACUCAUUCAUGUUGAUAAAAGAUGCUGCAGGAUACAUUCUGGACUUAUCCCUGUUUAAAGGCUGUACCGGGAUCUGUGUGGACAAGUGUGAAGCAUGGCAGAAUAUAAUGGCCUAUUGGAUGUCUAUGGACUGAUCUGGGACCAGCUUUGGAGCCUACUGGACUGUAAGGAAGUCUGUAUGGCUCAUCCAGUGUUGAAGAGGCUUUCUUCGGCCUUGAUUCUUAAUGGCACUUAAUGACCUCAAGUGCUCCACAGACUCUGAUAAUGCACAAGCGUGUGUAUUUGUGUAAGGGGCAUGUCAGUGGUGUGCGCAAGUGAAAGGUACAUUGUGUGCUGACGUGGUUUAUGGAGUGCUCUUAGAAGCAGAGGACUUUGGCUGCUAUGAGGAGACGCUUAUG
Long non-coding RNA from Colossoma macropomum (tambaqui), 652 nucleotides. RefSeq lists it as uncharacterized. The record is from RefSeq and is a predicted model, not a curated record. The transcript has 3 exons. NCBI's taxonomy places the organism in Eukaryota, Metazoa, Chordata, Actinopteri, Characiformes, Serrasalmidae.